CGUGCCUAAUACAUGCAAGUCGAGCGAACAGACGAGGAGCUUGCUCCUCUGACGUUAGCGGCGGACGGGUGAGUAACACGUGGAUAACCUACCUAUAAGACUGGGAUAACUUCGGGAAACCGGAGCUAAUACCGGAUAAUAUAUUGAACCGCAUGGUUCAAUAGUGAAAGACGGUUUUGCUGUCACUUAUAGAUGGAUCCGCGCCGCAUUAGCUAGUUGGUAAGGUAACGGCUUACCAAGGCAACGAUGCGUAGCCGACCUGAGAGGGUGAUCGGCCACACUGGAACUGAGACACGGUCCAGACUCCUACGGGAGGCAGCAGUAGGGAAUCUUCCGCAAUGGGCGAAAGCCUGACGGAGCAACGCCGCGUGAGUGAUGAAGGUCUUCGGAUCGUAAAACUCUGUUAUUAGGGAAGAACAAAUGUGUAAGUAACUAUGCACGUCUUGACGGUACCUAAUCAGAAAGCCACGGCUAACUACGUGCCAGCAGCCGCGGUAAUACGUAGGUGGCAAGCGUUAUCCGGAAUUAUUGGGCGUAAAGCGCGCGUAGGCGGUUUUUUAAGUCUGAUGUGAAAGCCCACGGCUCAACCGUGGAGGGUCAUUGGAAACUGGAAAACUUGAGUGCAGAAGAGGAAAGUGGAAUUCCAUGUGUAGCGGUGAAAUGCGCAGAGAUAUGGAGGAACACCAGUGGCGAAGGCGACUUUCUGGUCUGUAACUGACGCUGAUGUGCGAAA
This 733-nucleotide ribosomal RNA is filed under the name uncultured Staphylococcus sp. RNAcentral describes it as "bacterial SSU rRNA". It matches the Rfam family "Bacterial small subunit ribosomal RNA", at positions 43 to 758 of the family's 1533-position model. The record is from RNAcentral. Lineage: Bacteria; Bacillati; Bacillota; Bacilli; Caryophanales; Staphylococcaceae.